UAUAUUUUAGUAUAUUAGUACAAAAAUUUUUGAAAUUUUAGGAGAUAAUUAAUUUUAUUAAAUAUAA
Molecule: transfer RNA, 67 nt
Filed under: Cryptolaemus montrouzieri
Lineage: Eukaryota; Metazoa; Arthropoda; Insecta; Coleoptera; Coccinellidae
Description: tRNA-Gln
Source: RNAcentral